RNAcentral lists this ribosomal RNA (496 nucleotides) under uncultured bacterium. RNAcentral describes it as "partial 16S ribosomal RNA". It matches the Rfam family "Bacterial small subunit ribosomal RNA", at positions 29 to 507 of the family's 1533-position model. The record is from RNAcentral.
AUGAACGCUGGCGGCGUGCCUAAUACAUGCAAGUCGAGCGAACAGACGAGGAGCUUGCUCCUCUGACGUUAGCGGCGGACGGGUGAGUAACACGUGGAUAACCUACCUAUAAGACUGGGAUAACUUCGGGAAACCGGAGCUAAUACCGGAUAAUAUAUUGAACCGCAUGGUUCCAUAGUGAAAGACGGUUUUGCUGUCACUUAUAGAUGGAUCCGCGCCGCAUUAGCUAGUUGGUAAGGUAACGGCUUACCAAGGCAACGAUGCGUAGCCGACCUGAGAGGGUGAUCGGCCACACUGGAACUGAGGCACGGUCCAGACUCCUACGGGAGGCAGCAGUAGGGAAUCUUCCGCAAUGGGCGAAAGCCUGACGGAGCAACGCCGCGUGAGUGAUGAAGGUCUUCGGAUCGUAAAACUCUGUUAUUAGGGAAGAACAAAUGUGUAAGUAACUAUGCACGUCUUGACGGUACCUAAUCAGAAAGCCACGGCUAACUACGUG